Molecule: ribosomal RNA, 485 nt
Filed under: uncultured bacterium
Lineage: Bacteria
Description: bacterial SSU rRNA
Rfam family: Bacterial small subunit ribosomal RNA
Source: RNAcentral
GACGAACGCUGGCGGCGUGCUUAACACAUGCAAGUCACGGGGGCUCGCAAGGGCAACCGGCGAACGGGUGCGUAACACGUGAGCAACUUACCGAUUUGUGGGGGAUAGCCGGCCCAACGGCCGGGUAAUACCGCAUACGCUCUUUGGGUGGAGUCACCUGAAGAGGAAACCUCCGGGGCAAAUCGAGGGGCUCGCGGCCUAUCAGCUAGUUGGUGCGGGUAACGGCCCACCAAGGCGAUGACGGGUAGCGGUCUGAGAGGAUGGCCAGCCACAUUGGGACUGAGAAACGGCCCAGACUCCUACGGGAGGCAGCAGUGGGGAAUCUUGCGCAAUGGCCGAAAGGCUGACGCAGCGACGCCGCGUGUGGGAGGAAGCUCUUCGGGGUGUAAACCACUGUUGCCCGGAACGAAUGUCAGGAUUUUGUCCUGAUUGACGGUACCGGGUGAGGAAGCACCGGCUAACUCUGUGCCAGCAGCCGCCGUAAG